UUGUGCGCUUCUGAGAGGUGGAAGAGGGAAGAAUUUCAACUGAAAAGGCUGUAAGCGUGCAGUGAGGAUAUUUGCUGACCAUGAGAUUAAAAGGUUUCAACAAGACCUAAAAGGCUACAUUUAGGAGCAUUAACAGAAUGGGUAAAUUCCUUACCAAUAUCAUGGAUACUUAAAGUACAAGUGUGCAAGUUGCAAUUUGGCCUUAUUAACAUUCCCCUCCAUGACUAUUCUGGCCGCAUGUAAAUCACACCCAGGGAGCUGAACAGAAUGUUUUGAGACUCAGAAGUCACACAUUAGUCCUCUUCAUUGCUGCUGUGUUGUUGUACUAUCAGGCAGGUGCGGCAGGU
This 347-nucleotide long non-coding RNA is filed under the name Anas platyrhynchos platyrhynchos (common mallard). Its description in RNAcentral is "lncRNA (ENSAPLG00000030218.1)". Lineage: Eukaryota; Metazoa; Chordata; Aves; Anseriformes; Anatidae. The record is from RNAcentral.